This 128-nucleotide non-coding RNA is filed under the name Lepidothrix coronata (blue-crowned manakin). The record is from RNAcentral. Lineage: Eukaryota; Metazoa; Chordata; Aves; Passeriformes; Pipridae.
GUGUUGUAUGAAAGGAGAGAAGGUUAGCACUCCCCUUGAUAAGGAUGGAAGAGGUCCUAGUGGCCUGUACAACACACAUACGGUUAAGGCACUGCCACCUACUUCGUGGCAUCUAACCUGAGACUAUU